This 449-nucleotide ribosomal RNA is filed under the name uncultured bacterium. RNAcentral describes it as "partial 16S ribosomal RNA". It matches the Rfam family "Bacterial small subunit ribosomal RNA", at positions 338 to 795 of the family's 1533-position model. The record is from RNAcentral.
CCUACGGGAGGCAGCAGUGGGGAAUUUUGGACAAUGGGGGCAACCCUGAUCCAGCCAUGCCGCGUGAGUGAAGAAGGCCUUCGGGUUGUAAAGCUCUUUCGGCCGGGAAGAAAUCGCUCAAGCUACUACCUUGGGUGGAUGACGGUACCGGAAGAAGAAGCACCGGCUAACUACGUGCCAGCAUCCGCGGUAAUACGUAGGGUGCGAGCGUUAAUCAGAAUUACUGGGGCGACGCCAUAAGACAGAUGCGAAAUCCCCGGGCUUAACCUGGGAACUGCGGUUGUGACUGUGGUGCUCGAGUGCGGCAGAGGGGGGUGGAAUUCCACGUGUAGCAGUGAAAUGCGUAGAGAUGUGGAGGAACACCGAUGGCGAAGGCAGCCCCCUGGGUCGACACUGACGCUCAUGCACGAAAGCGUGGGGAGCAAACAGGAUUAGAUACCCCUGUAGUC